UAGUCUACGCCGUAAACGAUGGAUACUAGUUGUUUGGCUUUCGGGCUGAGUGACUAAGCGAAAGUGAUAAGUAUCCCACCUGGGGAGUACGUUCGCAAGAAUGAAACUCAAAGGAAUUGACGGGGGCCCGCACAAGCGGUGGAGCAUGUGGUUUAAUUCGAUGAUACGCGAGGAACCUUACCAGGGCUUAAAUGUAGUCUGACAGCUUUAGAGAUAGAGUUUUCUUCGGACAGAUUACAAGGUGCUGCAUGGUUGUCGUCAGCUCGUGCCGUGAGGUGUCAGGUUAAGUCCUAUAACGAGCGCAACCCCUGUUGUUAGUUGCCAGCGAGUAAUGUCGGGAACUCUAGCAAGACUGCCGGUGCAAACCGCGAGGAAGGUGGGGAUGACGUCAAAUCAUCACGGCCCUUACGUCCUGGGCUACACACGUGCUACAAUGGUCGUGACAAAGGGUUGCUAAUCUGCAAAGACAUGCUAAUCUCAUAAACACGGCCUCAGUUCGGAUUG
This 504-nucleotide ribosomal RNA is filed under the name uncultured bacterium. RNAcentral's name for it is "bacterial SSU rRNA". It matches the Rfam family "Bacterial small subunit ribosomal RNA", at positions 791 to 1300 of the family's 1533-position model. The record is from RNAcentral.